Molecule: non-coding RNA, 21 nt
Filed under: Caenorhabditis elegans
Lineage: Eukaryota; Metazoa; Nematoda; Chromadorea; Rhabditida; Rhabditidae
Source: RNAcentral
UGAAACGUUACAACGUAUAAA